UACGAAGGGGGCGAGCGUUGUUCGGAUUUACUGGGCGUAAAGGGCGCGCAGGCGGCUCAUUUUGUCAGGCGUGAAAGCCCCGGGCUUAACCUGGGAACUGCGUUUGAUACGGAUGGGCUAGAGUUCGGGAGAGGAGAGUGGAAUUCCCAGUGUAGAGGUGAAAUUCGUAGAUAUCAGGAGGAACACCGGUGGCGAAGGCGGUCUGCUGGGCAGUUGCUGACGCUGAUGCGCGACAGCGUGGGGAGCAAACAGG
This 253-nucleotide ribosomal RNA is filed under the name uncultured bacterium. RNAcentral describes it as "partial 16S ribosomal RNA". It matches the Rfam family "Bacterial small subunit ribosomal RNA", at positions 524 to 776 of the family's 1533-position model. The record is from RNAcentral.